RNAcentral lists this ribosomal RNA (505 nucleotides) under uncultured Planctomycetota bacterium. Its description in RNAcentral is "bacterial SSU rRNA". It matches the Rfam family "Bacterial small subunit ribosomal RNA", at positions 355 to 854 of the family's 1533-position model. Lineage: Bacteria; Pseudomonadati; Planctomycetota. The record is from RNAcentral.
UCGAGAAUCUUCGGCAAUGGGGGAAACCCUGACCGAGCGACGCCGCGUGCGAGGUGAAGGCCUUCGGGUUGUAAAUCGCUGUCAGUGGGGAGGAAAUGCUGGUGGGUUCUCCCAUCGGUUUGACCUAUCCGCAGAGGAAGGACGGGCUAAGUUCGUGCCAGCAGCCGCGGUAAUACGGACCGUCCAAACGUUAUUCGGAAUCACUGGGCUUAAAGGGUGCGUAGGCGGCUCGGAAAGUUGGGUGUGAAAGCCCUCAGCUCAACUGAGGAAUUGCGCUCAAAACUGCCGGGCUCGAGGGAGACAUAGGUGAGCGGAACUUAGGGUGGAGCGGUGAAAUGCGUUGAGAUCCUAGGGAACACCAGUAGCGAAAGCGGCUCACUGGGUCUCUUCUGACGCUGAAGCACGAAAGCCAGGGGAGCGAAGAGGAUUAGAUACCCUCGUAGUCCUGGCCGUAAACGAUGAGCACUGGUUUGGAGGCUCCUCCAUAGGCUUCCAGACGUAGACG